CCUACGGGCGGCAGCAGUGGGGAAUAUUGGGCAAUGGAGGCAACUCUUACCCAGCAAUGCCGCGUGAAUGAAGAAGGUCCUCAGCUUGUCAAGUCCUUUAAUCGGGGACGCAAAAAAUGAGGGUACCCCGGGAAUAAGCGUCGGCGAACUACGAGCGAGCAGCCGCGGCAAUACGUCGGGGGCAAGCGUGGUUCGGAAUGGCGGAGCGUCAAGGGUGUGUGGGCGGUGUAGCAACUUAGAUGUGAAAUACCUAGAGCCUAACUCAGGUGCAGCUGCCAAAACUGGUAUACUUGAGUGCAGUGGAGGAAAGUGGAAUGCGCAGUGUAGCGGUGGAAUGCGUAGAUAUUAGGAGGAACAUC
Molecule: ribosomal RNA, 359 nt
Filed under: uncultured bacterium
Lineage: Bacteria
Description: partial 16S ribosomal RNA
Rfam family: Bacterial small subunit ribosomal RNA
Source: RNAcentral